GAUGAACGCUGGCGGCGUGCCUAAUACAUGCAAGUCGAGCGAACAGACGAGGAGCUUGCUCCUCUGACGUUAGCGGCGGACGGGUGAGUAACACGUGGAUAACCUACCUAUAAGACUGGGAUAACUUCGGGAAACCGGAGCUAAUCCCGGAUAAUAUAUUGAACCGCAUGGUUCAAUAGUGAAAGACGGUUUUGCUGUCACUUAUAGAUGGAUCCGCGCCGCAUUAGCUAGUUGGUAAGGUAACGGCUUACCAAGGCAACGAUGCGUAGCCGACCGGCGAGGGUGAUCGGCCACACUGGAACUGAGACACGGUCCAGACUCCUACGGGAGGCAGCAGUAGGGAAUCUUCCGCAAUGGGCGAAAGCCUGACGGAGCAGCGCCGCGUGAGUGAUGAAGGUCUUCGGAUCGUAAAACUCUGUUAUUAGGGAAGAACAAAUGUGUAAGUAACUAUGCACGUCUUGACGGUACCUAAUCAGAAAGCCACGGCUAACUACGUG
This 497-nucleotide ribosomal RNA is filed under the name uncultured bacterium. RNAcentral's name for it is "partial 16S ribosomal RNA". It matches the Rfam family "Bacterial small subunit ribosomal RNA", at positions 28 to 507 of the family's 1533-position model. The record is from RNAcentral.